This 74-nucleotide transfer RNA is filed under the name Cryptosporangium arvum DSM 44712. It matches the Rfam family "tRNA". From Rfam's summary of the family: Transfer RNA (tRNA) molecules are approximately 80 nucleotides in length. Their secondary structure includes four short double-helical elements and three loops (D, anti-codon, and T loops). Lineage: Bacteria; Bacillati; Actinomycetota; Actinomycetes; Cryptosporangiales; Cryptosporangiaceae. The record is from Rfam by way of RNAcentral.
AUCCCCGUAGCUCAGCGGAUCAGAGCACCAGACUACGAAUCUGGGGGUCGGCGGUUCGAAUCCGUCCGGGGAUA